UGCGACUCAUCUUGGGNGUUUUUGGAGGA
Molecule: non-coding RNA, 29 nt
Filed under: Mus musculus (house mouse)
Lineage: Eukaryota; Metazoa; Chordata; Mammalia; Rodentia; Muridae
Source: RNAcentral